GACAGAGGAGGCGAGCGUUAUCAGGAGUUAUUGGGCGUAAAGUGUACGUAGGCGGCUGGUCAAGUCUGGGGUUAAAGACCACAGCUUAACUGAGGGGGGGCCUUGGAAACUGACCGGCUGGAGUGGGGCAGGGGUUGCGGGAAUUCCCGGUGUAGCGGUGAAAUGCGUAGAUAUCGGGAAGAACACCUGAGGCGAAAGCGCGCAACUGGGCCCUAACUGACGCUGAGGUACGAAAGCUAGGGGAGCGAAUGGG
RNAcentral lists this ribosomal RNA (253 nucleotides) under uncultured bacterium. RNAcentral describes it as "partial 16S ribosomal RNA". It matches the Rfam family "Bacterial small subunit ribosomal RNA", at positions 524 to 776 of the family's 1533-position model. The record is from RNAcentral.